UCGGCCCGCCCCUCGGGCCGCGAGAGGCGCCGGGAUCGCGGGCGCCGGCUGAGCCAGCGGCUCUUGGGAGGCUGCGUCCGCGCGCCGGCGGGGCGAGGCGGCCGGGCCCUGCGCGUCAGGCCUGAGACCUGGGAGGAAGCUGGAGAAAAGAUGCCCUCUGAAUCUUUGUGUUUGGCUGCCCAGGCUCGCCUCGACUCCAAAUGGUUGAAAACAGAUAUACAGCUUGCAUUCACAAGAGAUGGGCUCUGUGGUCUGUGGAAUGAAAUGGUUAAAGAUGGAGAAAUUGUAUACACUGGAACAGAAUCAACCCAGAACGGAUAGCUCCCUCCUGGAAAAGCUUUUGUCUGGUCCUCUGAGCCCCAGUGAGAGUUUCCUGAGGUACCUCACCCUUCCACAAGACAACAGGCUUGCCAUUGAUCUGCAACAAACGGCGGUUGUUGUCAUGGCCCAUUUAGACCGUCUGGCUACACCCUGUAGAUGCCUCCUCUGUGUAGCUCUCCGACGUCUCAUAAGAGUCAUUUUUUACAGGUCAGAACUGUAGAAAUAAUGAGAAAGUGACAUUUGUACGCAUAGCUGAUUUGGAGAACCAUAAUAACGAUGGAGGCUUCUGGACUGUGAUUGACGGGAAAGUGUAUGAUAUAAAGGACUUCCAGACACAGUCGUUAACAGAAAAUAGUAUUCUUGCUCAGUUUGCAGGGGAAGACCCAGUGGUAGCUUUGGAAGCUGCUUUGCAGUUUGAAGACACCCGGGAAUCCAUGCACGCAUUUUGUGUUGGCCAGUAUUUGGAGCCUGACCAAGAAGGCGUCACCAUACCAGAUCUGGGGAGUCUCUCCUCACCUCUGAUAGACACAGAGAGGAAUCUGGGCCUGCUUCUCGGAUUACACGCUUCCUAUUUAGCAAUGAGCACACCGCUGUCUCCUGUCGAGAUUGAAUGUGCCAAAUGGCUUCAGUCAUCCAUCUUCUCUGGAGGCCUGCAGACCAGCCAGAUCCACUACAGCUACAACGAGGAGAAAGACGAGGACCACUGCAGCUCCCCAGGGGGCACACCUGCCAGCAAAUCUCGACUCUGCUCCCACAGACGGGCCCUGGGGGACCAUUCCCAGGCAUUUCUGCAAGCCAUUGCAGACAACAACAUUCAGGAUCACAACGUGAAGGACUUUUUGUGUCAAAUAGAAAGGUACUGUAGGCAGUGCCAUUUGACCACACCGAUCAUGUUUCCCCCCGAGCAUCCCGUGGAAGAGGUCGGUCGCUUGCUGUUAUGUUGCCUCUUAAAACAUGAAGAUUUAGGUCAUGUGGCAUUAUCUUUAGUUCAUGCAGGUGCACUUGAUAUUGAGCAAGUAAAGCACAGAACGUUGCCUAAGUCAGUGGUGGAUGUUUGUAGAGUUGUCUACCAAGCAAAAUGUUCGCUCAUUAAGACUCAUCAAGAACAGGGCCGUUCUUACAAGGAGGUCUGCGCUCCUGUCAUCAAACGUUUGAGAUUCCUCUUUAAUGAAUUGAGACCUGCUGUUUGUAAUGACCUCUCUAUAAUGUCUAAGUUUAAAUUGUUAAGUUCUUUGCCCCAUUGGAGGAGGAUAGCUCAGAAGAUAAUUCGAGAACCAAGGAAAAAGAGAGUUCCUAAGAAGCCAGAAUCUACGGAUGAUGAAGAAAAAAUUGGAAACGAAGAGAGUGAUUUAGAAGAAGCUUGCAUUUUGCCUCAUAGUCCAAUAAAUGUGGACAAGAGACCCAUUGCAAUUAAAUCACCCAAGGACAAAUGGCAGCCGCUGUUGAGUACUGUUACAGAUGUUCACAAAUACAAGUGGUUGAAGCAGAAUGUGCAGGGUCUUUAUCCGCAGUCUCCACUCCUCAGUACAAUUGCUGAAUUUGCCCUUAAAGAAGAGCCAGUGGAUGUGGAAAAGAGAAAGUGCCUACUAAAACAGUUGGAGAGAGCAGAGGUUCGCCUGGAAGGGAUAGAUACAAUUUUAAAAUUGUAUCUGGUGAGCAAGAAUUUCUUACUUCCAUCUGUGCCGUAUGCGAUGUUUUGUGGAUGGCAAAGACUUAUUCCUGAGGGAAUCGAUAUAGGGGAACCUCUUACUGAUUGUUUAAAGGAUGUUGAUUUGAUCCCGCCUUUUAAUCGGAUGCUGCUGGAAGUCACCUUUGGCAAGCUGUACGCUUGGGCUGUUCAGAACAUUCGAAAUGUUUUGGUGGAUGCCAGUGCCAAAUUUAAAGAGCUUGGUAUCCAGCCGGUUCCCCUGCAAACCAUCACCAAUGAGAACCCAUCGGGACCGAGCCUGGGGACCAUCCCGCAAGCCCACUUCCUCCUGGUGAUGCUCAGCAUGCUCACCCUGCAGCACAGCGCAAACAACCUUGACCUCCUGCUCAAUUCCGGCACGCUGGCCCUCGCUCAGACGGCACUGCGCCUGAUUGGCCCCAGUUGUGACAGCGUUGAGGAAGAUAUGAAUGCUUCUGCCCAAGGUGCUUCUGCCACAGUUUUGGAAGAAACAAGGAAGGAAACGGCUCCUGUGCAGCUCCCUGUUUCAGGGCCAGAACUGGCUGCCAUGAUGAAGAUUGGAACAAGGGUCAUGAGAGGUGUGGACUGGAAAUGGGGCGAUCAGGAUGGGCCUCCUCCAGGCCUAGGCCGAGUGAUUGGUGAGCUGGGAGAGGACGGGUGGAUAAGAGUCCAGUGGGACACAGGCAGCACCAACUCCUACAGGAUGGGGAAAGAAGGAAAAUACGACCUCAAGCUGGCAGAGCUGCCAGCCCCUGCACAGCCCUCAGCAGAGGAUUCGGACACAGAGGACGACUCUGAAGCCGAACAAACUGAAAGGAACAUUCACCCCACUGCAAUGAUGUUUACCAGCACUAUUAACUUACUGCAGACUCUUUGUCUGUCUGCUGGAGUUCAUGCUGAGAUCAUGCAGAGUGAAGCCACCAAGACUUUAUGCGGACUGCUGCGAAUGUUAGUGGAAAGCGGAACGACGGACAAGACAUCUUCUCCAAACAGGCUGGUGUACAGGGAGCAACACCGGAGCUGGUGCACGCUGGGGUUUGUGCAGAGCAUCGCUCUCACGCUGCAGGUGUGCGGCGCCCUCAGCUCCCCGCAGUGGAUCACGCUGCUCAUGAAGGUUGUGGAAGGGCACGCACCCUUCACUGCCACCUCGCUGCAGAGGCAGAUCUUAGCUGUGCAUUUGUUGCAAGCAGUCCUUCCGUCAUGGGACAAGACCGAAAGGGUGAGGGACAUGAAAUGCCUCAUGGAGAAGCUGUUUGACUUCUUGGGGAGCUUGCUCACUAUGUGCUCCUCUGACGUGCCGUUACUCAGAGAGUCCACGCUGAGGCGGCGCAGGGUGUGCCCGCAGGCCUCGCUGACUGCCACCCACAGCAGCACACUGGCGGAGGAGGUGGUGGCACUGCUGCACACGCUGCACUCCCUGACUCGGUGGAAUGGGCUCAUCAACAAGUACAUCAACUCCCAGCUCCGCUCCAUCACCCACAGCUUUGCGGGAAGGCCUUCCAAAGGGGCCCAGUUAGAUGACUACUUCCCUGAUUCCGAGAACCCUGAAGUGGGGGGCCUCAUGGCGGUCCUGGCUGUGGUUGGAGGCAUCGAUGGUCGCCUGUGCCUGGGCGGCCAAGUUGUGCACGAUGACUUUGGAGAAGUCACCAUGACUCGCAUCACCCUGAAGGGCAAAAUCACCGUGCAGUUCUCUGACAUGCGGACGUGUCGCGUUUGCCCAUUGAAUCAGCUGAAACCACUCCCUGCCGUGGCCUUUAAUGUGAACAACCUGCCCUUCACAGAGCCCAUGCUGUCUGUCUGGGCUCAGUUGGUGAACCUCGCUGGAAGCAAGUUAGAAAAGCACAAAAUAAAGAAAUCGACUAAACAGGCCUUUGCAGGACAAGUGGACCUGGACCUGCUGCGGCGCCAGCAGUUGAAGCUAUACAUCCUGAAAGCAGGUCGGGCGCUGUUCUCCCACCAGGAUAAACUGCGGCAGAUCCUGUCUCAGCCAGCUGUUCAGGAGACUGGAACUGUUCACACAGAACCCAUGGAUACGGAGGGCUAGCUGUAUAUGUUUAUUGCUGUGGAAACAUGAAAACAAUGAUGGAGCAGUGGUAUCACCUGACCUUGGGGACAUGUCUCCUGAAGGGCCGCAGCCCCCCAUGAUCCUCUUGCAGCAGCUGCUGGCCUCGGCCACCCAGCCGUCUCCUGUGAAGGCCAUAUUUGAUAAACAGGAACUUGAGACUGCUGCACUGGCCGUUGUGGAGUCCACUCACCCUUCGAGCCCAGGAUUUGAAGACUGCAGCUCCAGUGAGGCCACCACGCCUGUCAACGUGCAGCACAUCCGCCCUGCCAGAGUGAAGAGGCGCAAGCAGUCACCCGUUCCCGCUCUGCCGAUCGUGGUGCAGCUCAUGGAGAUGGGAUUUCCCAGAAGGAACAUCGAGUUUGCCCUGAAGUCUCUCACUGGUGCUUCCGGGAAUGCGUCCGGCUUGCCUGGUGUGGAAGCCUUGGUCGGGUGGCUGCUGGACCACUCCGACAUACAGGUCACGGAGCUCUCAGAUGCAGACACGGUGUCCGACGAGUAUUCUGACGAGGAGGUGGUGGAGGACAUGGAUGAUGCCGCCUACUCCAUGUCUACUGGUGCUGUUGUGACGGAGAGCCAGACGUACAAAAACCGAGCUGGUUUCUUGGGUAAUGAUGAUUAUGCUGUAUAUGUGAGAGAGAAUAUUCAGGUGGGAAUGAUGGUUAGAUGCUGCCGAACAUACGAAGAAGUGUGCGAAGGUGAUGUGAUGUUGGCAAAGUCAUCAAGCUGGACAGAGAUGGAUUGCAUGAUCUCAAUGUGCAGUGUGACUGGCAGCAGAAAGGGGGCAUCUACUGGUUUAGGUACAUUCAUGUGGAACUUAUAGGCUAUCCUCCACCAAGAAGUUCUUCUCACAUCAAGAUUGGUGAUAAAGUGCGGGUCAAAGCCUCUGUCACCACACCAAAAUACAAAUGGGGAUCUGUGACUCAUCAGAGUGUGGGGGUUGUGAAAGGUGUGAUGGAUGUCAGAUGUUUCCUAUCAAUGGAUCCAGAUUCAAAUGCAGAAACUGUGAUGACUUUGAUUUUUGUGAAACGUGUUUCAAGACCAAAAAACACAAUACCAGGCAUACAUUUGGCAGAAUAAAUGAACCAGGCUUCAGCAGAAGAAACACUUCCUAUAAAUCUCGCCCAAACAGGAAAGGAGAAGCAUUAGGGUGUCCGACUACGUGGGUUUCAUAGCUGUGGAAAAGCCAAAGGGGAGACUCCUGAAGAAAGGCGGUGAAGACUGUGAAGAGCGGGUCAGGAAGAUGAGCACAGCACUGCUACUCCUGUGGGCACAGGGACAGCAUGUCUCCAGCCAGCGCCACCUUGUUUAAUACAUGGGAACUCACUGAAAUUCAUUCUGUAUUUUGCCCGCAAAGUUUUAAAGCUUUCAUCCACAGUCAGGAAUUAAACUUAUACCAAUGAGAGCCUCACACAUUCAAGGAUGUACUAAGCACUACAGGCCUCACAGAAACAGAGAUCCCAUCUUGGAGUUUUCAGUACCACAUGGGAGAUAAAGGGUUUUGAACAUGAAAUGACAAAAACAACAGCAAGAAGAAAAUUCUUGUCCUUUUUCAUUACUAUCAGACUCAAAUAAAUGUCUUGGCUCUUACAUUACAUUCAUUCUUCAACCAUUGUGGUCUGGCUUCCACUUCCUUCACUUCACCAACAUGGCUCUGCCAAAGGAAGCCCGUGAUCUCUAGGCCAUCACUUUAAUUGAUCUUUCUACAACAUUUAUCCUGGUUGUUAAGCCCUCCUUACAACAUUCUUCUCUCUUUGUUUUUAUAGCUCCAUCUCUCCUGCUUCUUUAACUUGAUAAUGCAUACUUGAUUUUUCUAUUUGUUAUUUCAUAAACCAAUUAAUACACAGAUAAAAUGACUGUAUAUCAAACCAUGUUUGUAUAGAAAAAAUGGAUUUUGGAUGCCUCUCAUAUGUAAUUAGUUCUAUUAAACAUAUUAAUUGUAUUGUUUAAUUUGUCAGGUUUUUGACAGAAUUUUGUUUACAAGUAAUAAAAAUUUUAUCUCCAAUUUUCAAUAAUUACACCCAUU
Molecule: RNA transcript, 6075 nt
Organism: Homo sapiens (human)
Lineage: Eukaryota; Metazoa; Chordata; Mammalia; Primates; Hominidae
Gene: HERC2P2
Gene name: HERC2 pseudogene 2
Exons: 35
Source: RefSeq, marked validated